UGGAUUUGGUGAUUGAUCGCUGAGAGUUGAUUUCUCAGAGGAAAGUCCGGGCUUCAUGCGGGCAAGGUGCCGGAUAACGUCCGGCGUCAGAGGUUGAAAAAUCUCUGGUAGGGAAAGUGCAACAGAAAAUAUACCGCCUUUUGUUUGUUGGCAACCUCAAAUGAAGGUAAGGGUGAAAUGGCGUCGGUAAGAGCGCACCGCACGGCCGGUAACGGAAGUGGCAUUGCAAACCCCACCUGAAGAAAGACCAAAUAGAGGUGACUCGAAUGAAAUAUUAAUUGUUUUGUUCGUGAUGGCCCGCGUUCAUCGUCACCUGGGUAGGUCGCUCGAGCUCACCGGUAACGGUGUGCCUAGAUGAAUGAUCAAUCAGAAGAUUUUUUCUUCGGACAGAACCCGGCUUACAGCCAGAUUCACACC
This 417-nucleotide RNase P RNA is filed under the name Holosporales bacterium. RNAcentral's name for it is "RNase P RNA component class A". It matches the Rfam family "Bacterial RNase P class A". From Rfam's summary of the family: Ribonuclease P (RNase P) is a ubiquitous endoribonuclease, found in archaea, bacteria and eukarya as well as chloroplasts and mitochondria. Its best characterised activity is the generation of mature 5'-ends of tRNAs by cleaving the 5'-leader elements of precursor-tRNAs. The record is from RNAcentral. Lineage: Bacteria; Pseudomonadati; Pseudomonadota; Alphaproteobacteria; Holosporales.